RNAcentral lists this ribosomal RNA (443 nucleotides) under uncultured bacterium. RNAcentral describes it as "partial 16S ribosomal RNA". It matches the Rfam family "Bacterial small subunit ribosomal RNA", at positions 338 to 795 of the family's 1533-position model. The record is from RNAcentral.
CCUACGGGAGGCAGCAGUGGGGAAUAUUGGGCAAUGGGCGCAAGCCUGACCCAGCAACGCCGCGUGAAGGAAGAAGGCUUUCGGGUUGUAAACUUCUUUUCUCAGGGACGAAGAAAGUGACGGUACCUGAGGAAUAAGCCACGGCUAACUACGUGCCAGCAGCCGCGGUAAUACGUAGGUGGCAAGCGUUAUCCGGAUUUACUGGGUGUAAAGGGCGUGUAGGCGGGAAAGCAAGUCAGAUGUGAAAACCAUGGGCUCAACCUGUGGCCUGCAUUUGAAACUGUUGUUCUUGAGUGCUGGAGAGGCAGACGGAAUUCCUCGUGUAGCGGUGAAAUGCGUAGAUAUGAGGAGGAACACCAGUGGCGAAGGCGGUCUGCUGGACAGCAACUGACGCUGAGGCGCGAAAGCGUGGGGAGCAAACAGGAUUAGAUACCCGGGUAGUC